CCUACGGGUGGCAGCAGUGGGGAAUAUUGGGCAAUGGGCGCAAGCCUGACCCAGCAACGCCGCGUGAAGGAAGAAGGCUUUCGGGUUGUAAACUUCUUUUGACAGGGAAGAGCAGAAGACGGUACCUGUCGAAUAUGCCACGGCUAACUACGUGCCAGCAGCCGCGGUAAUACGUAGGUGGCAAGCGUUGUCCGGAUUUAUUGGGUUUAAAGGGUGCGUAGGCGGACUGGUAAGUCAGCGGUAAAAGCCCGGGGCUCAACCCCGGCGAGCCGUUGAAACUGGCUGUCUUGAGAUGUCGAGAGGUAUGCGGAAUGCGCAGUGUAGCGGUGAAAUGCUUAGAUAUUGCGCAGAACUCCGAUUGCGAAGGCAGCAUACCGGCGGCGAUCUGACGCUGAGGCACGAAAGCGUGGGUAUCGAACAGGAUUAGAUACCCUAGUAGUC
This 441-nucleotide ribosomal RNA is filed under the name uncultured bacterium. RNAcentral's name for it is "partial 16S ribosomal RNA". It matches the Rfam family "Bacterial small subunit ribosomal RNA", at positions 338 to 795 of the family's 1533-position model. The record is from RNAcentral.